UAAAAAACUAUCACGGAGAGUUUGAUUCUGGCUCAGGAUGAACGCUGGCGGUAUGCUUAACACAUGCAAGUUGAACGAAGAUAAUAAUUCAUUGAAUUAUAAUACUUAGUAGCGGACGGGUGAGUAACGCGUAAGAAUCUACCUUUAGGAAAAGGAUAACAACUGGAAACGGUUGCUAAUACUUUAUAUGCUGAGAAGUUAAAUAGGUUACUGCCUAAAGAUGAGCUUGCGUCUGAUUAGCUAGUUGGUAAGGUAAAGGCUUACCAAGGCGAUUAUCAGUAGUUGGUCUGAGAGGAUGAUCAGCCACACUGGGACUGAGACACGGCCCAGACUCCUACGGGAGGCAGCAGUGAGGAAUUUUUCGCAAUGGGCGCAAGCCUGACGAAGCAAUACCGCGUGAAGGAUGAAGGCCUGCGGGUUGUAAACUUCUUUUAUUAGAGAAGAUAAUGACAGUAUCUAAUGAAUAAGCAUCGGCUAAACAUUUGGCCCUCAAUUCUGUGAAGAAUUGCGACUAAACUUGGCUCAUAACGAUGAAACCCAAACGAGUAAAGUCGUGGGCAAUAUCGUGGGAAGAUUUAUUUACUAAAAAAAAAUGACUAUAGAAGUUAAAUUAACAAAAGAGGAAGAAGCAAUUCUUUUAGGUAAUUUAUUAGGUGAUGGCCAUAUUCAGAAAAGAAAUAAUUCUUAUCGAACAAAAAUUCAGCAUUGUAUAAAACAAGAAGAUUAUGUUCGGUGGAAAUAUAUAAAAUUAAAACGAUUAUGUUUUGAUUACACUUUUCCAAAGAAAACAAAACAAAAUUCAAUUAAUUAUUAUUUUUUUUUAAAAUCUGGUCUUUAUUUAAAAAAAUAUCACGAUUUAUUUUAUCAAGAAUAUAGUUGGAAAUCGUCAAAUAAAGAAGAACUAACUAAAAAUAAUAAAGUUAAGAUACGCUAUAAAAAAACCAUUACAAAAGAAUUAAUUGAUUUUUUACCUAAAGAUCCUCUAAUACUAGCAGUUUGGUUUAUGGAUGACGGUCAUUGUAGGACUGAUUCUUUUAGUGGUAAAUUAGGAACUUAUGCUUUUUCAAAAGAUGAGCAACUUAUUUUACAAGAUUAUCUUUAUUCUAUGUUUAAUAUAAAAACAAAUAUAGUAUUAGCUUCAAGAUUAAAAAAUCAAUACUAUUUAUCGAUUUCAGGAAAAAAUAAAAAUUUUGAAAACUUUGUUGAUUUAAUAAAACCUUUUAUUGAUGAAGUUCCAUCAAUGAGUUAUAAAAUAAAAAAUCCAAAGGUAUAAAAUAAAUAAAUCCCCGUAACGACUGAGGAAAUAAUAGAAAAUAUUCUAUUUGAGUACGAGAUAAAUUUUUGAAGUUAUUUAAUAUUAAGAUAAUGAUAAAUUAAAAAUUAAUUUUUAAGAUAGAUAAAAAUUUAUAAUACGCCGAGCGCUUAUGUUUAACAUAAGAUGAUGGUAUAGUCUAUACUUAUAGAAAUAUAAGAUCAAUUGAAAUAUGUGCCAGCAGCCGCGGUAGCUGGUUAAUUGCCGCCUUAAAGAGUAAUCUUUAUGUUAAAAUCCGGCUCAUAACGGUGAAGUCUAAAGAUUUAAUAAUCCAUGAUAAUACCGUGGGAAGUUUUGAAAUUGUAGAAACCAAUUUUUUUUAUCUAUUAUAUUUAUAUUAUAAUUGAAAGACCUUUUCAAUAACCCCGUAACGACUGAUUCGAAAGAAGAGAGUUUAAAUUUAAUAUUAUUUAAGCUAACACGCCGGCCUCGCAUGGUUUCCACAAGUUAAAUACUAAUAAGUUUUAUUAAAUAUAAAACUUAUGGUUGGUUAAUUGACCUAACACUUAGUUGGUGAGAUGAAGGUAUAGUCUGAGCCUAAAGAAAUUUAGGAAUUUUUGAAUACAUAUGAUGCAAGCGUUAUCCGGAAUGAUUGGGCGUAAAGCGUCUGUAGGUUGUUUAAAAAGUCAAUUGUCAAAAACUAAAGCUCAACUUUAGGUAGGCAGUUGAAACUUUUAGACUAGAGUAUGGCAGAGGUAGAGGGAAUUACUGGUGUAACGGUGAAAUGUGCAGAUAUCAGUAAGAACACCAACGGCGAAAGCACUCUACUGGACCAAAACUGACACUCAGAGACGAAAGCUAGGGGAGCGAAUAGGAUUAGAUACCCUAGUAGUCCUAGCUGUAAACGAUGGAAACUAAAUAUUGCGUUUUUUUAAUGCAGUAUUGUAGCUAACGCGUUAAGUUUCCCGCCUGGGGAGUAUGCUCGCAAGAGUGAAACUCAAAGAAAUUGACGGGGGCCCGCACAAGCGGUGGAGCAUGUGGUUUAAUUCGAUGCAACGCGAAGAACCUUACCGGGGUUUGACAUACUAUGAAUUUUUUGGAGACGAAAAAGUUUAAACAUAGAUACAGGUGGUGCAUGGCUGUCGUCAGCUCGUGUCGUGAGACGUAGGGUUAAGUCCUGUAACGAGCGCAACCCUUAUUGUUAGUUGCUUUAAGGAAACUAGCAAGACUGCCAGUGAUAAGCUGGAGGAAGGUGAGGAUGACGUCAAGUCAGCAUGCCCCUUAAAUCCCGGGCUACACACGUGCUACAAUGGUUAAGACAAAGAGAUGCUAACUUGCGAAAGUACAGCCAACCUCAAAAACUUAAUCUCAGUUCGGAUUGUAGGCUGCAACUCGCCUACAUGAAGCCGGAAUCGCUAGUAAUCGCAGGUCAGCUAUACUGCGGUGAAUACGUUCCCGGGCCUUGUACACACCGCCCGUCACACCAUCGGAGCUGACUAGGCCCGAAGCCGUUGUAAACGUCUAAGGCACAGUUAGUGACGAGGGUGAAGUCGUAACAAGGUAGGGCUACUGGAAGGUGGCCCUGGAUCACCUCCUUC
This 2850-nucleotide ribosomal RNA is filed under the name Ulva prolifera. Its description in RNAcentral is "16S ribosomal RNA". The stretch from base 1858 to 2850 matches the Rfam family "Bacterial small subunit ribosomal RNA". The record is from RNAcentral. Lineage: Eukaryota; Viridiplantae; Chlorophyta; Ulvophyceae; Ulvales; Ulvaceae.